CUAGACCUAAAGAAUGAGAUCCCUUAAUUGAAGAACCCAACGCAACUUUCCCCUUUUCCCUUUUUCUUCUCACUCCCCCUUCAUCUCCCUUAAAAACCAGAGAAAACGGCAACACCAUGGUUCCCCUUUUCUUCUUCUCCAUUCCUCAUCUUCAACAGACAUACAUGCCCUCAUGAUCUGAUUUUUGCAUAUAAUUUUAGAGAACAACUAAAAUCGGCGAAAUCGAAAAAAAAGAAUUUGAAAGCUAUGGUUAAACUUCUACUCACUUGCUCUAUUUUUUUGAAAAUUCAAGUGUAAACAAAUUUGGGAAAGAGUUUAUGAAGCUAGGAGUAGGGGCUGAUUUCGUCGAUGAUUUCACUGCUGUCCAUGUAGCUGAUUUCCAACAUAGCAUCGGUUCUUUCAGCCUUUGUCCUGGCAUUUUUUCGAUUCUUAUUUGUGUUUCAGGUAUGAAUCUCGAUUUGAAAAUGCUAUAAUUGUUGUUAGAUGCUCCGUUGCGAUGAAAUUGUAACAACAGUUCCCUUGUUUCUCUUAAAUUCAUCAAUGUUUUGUGCGAGCUUAAACUAUUUUUUUGCUAAAAUUUGUCGGGAACGUACCCUUGUUUUAUGAUGUUCUGCUCCAUUUCUAGUACGGUUAACUCUUGCGAUUUGAAAUUUGCUUUCUGAAAUCCCCAUUUUAAUGAUCUUCUUCUGAUGUUGAUGCCUUUAAUUCGAUUUUGGAUUUGAUGUUUAUAGAUAAUCCUAUGUUAGUUAAUCAUUCUGGUGCUUUUAUCAUUUCCUCUCAUUGGUCAGCAUGGCCGUUGCUUAGUCAGUAGUGAAGCAGUUGAUAUAAAGGAUCUUGACGCAGGACAAUUCUUUGAACUCUGCUCCGGAAUAUGUGAUUUUUUAACAGCUGAAUGAAAAGACAAUUCUGUGAUAGUUUUGCCCUUAACUAUUUCCAUGACUGCAAUUAUGUGCUUGGACUUGAUGAAAAGACAUUUCUGUUAAAAGAAAACAUCUGAGUUGUAUUUUCAUGUUAUUGUUUUGUUGGCCUUGGAUUGCUGCAAUCUACAUAUUCCAAUUUUGAUGUUUAUUGAAUCUCAAGAGGUGUAACUCAGAUUUUCAAACUGACCCUUCAUCGGAAGAUCACUCAUAUGUCAUAGCAUGUAGGCGCCUGUAUGGGUGCUUCACUAAUGUUUAGAUGAGUUCUGUAGUUUCACAUUUAUUCCAUUCACUUAUUAGGACAUGACUUGCUAGUAAGUGAGCCUCAACUGUGAGGGAGGAGGCAAGAAGUAUGCUUUGGUGGAUUAGGGUUUUCAAUUCCUAUUCAUGUGCAAUUACCUGACACUUGGAUAAUGCUAUUAGUGUAUUUCAAACUUCUUAUUUGAUUUGUCAUACUUAGUGGGUUACCUUUAAUUAUUUAUUUUUCUUGUUUUUUUAAAUAUGUUUAACAACUGGACCUCAUAUUUGUGUUAGUAUGGGAAUUUGGGUAUAUAAGUACUAACUUGAAAGUUGAGUUUUAAUGGUAUUUCAAUUGCUAGAAAUUUGCAUCUUUUGUUGUUCUUUUUCAAUCAUUUUAUUGCUUGAAUUCCUUUUGGUUAAUAUUGAAGAUUUUGACAGAAUUUUGAAUAUUUGAUGCAUUCAAAAUGAAUGUCUUUCCUUCAUUGUCUCACUUGAUUAUUCAACAAAGUUGAAGGAACGAGAAUUUUGGGCUUUAUGUUUCAAGUGUAGUUGCUGAUUAGCUUAUGGAAACAGUGGUUGUCUCUGCUUGGUAA
Molecule: long non-coding RNA, 1750 nt
Filed under: Nicotiana tabacum (common tobacco)
Lineage: Eukaryota; Viridiplantae; Streptophyta; Magnoliopsida; Solanales; Solanaceae
Description: long non-coding RNA (NTAB_LNC006096)
Source: RNAcentral